Podiceps cristatus (great crested grebe) is the source of this 97-nucleotide non-coding RNA. NCBI's taxonomy places the organism in Eukaryota, Metazoa, Chordata, Aves, Podicipediformes, Podicipedidae. The record is from Rfam.
UCUUAAGUUCAUGGUUCAACACCAUGGAUCUCCAGGUGGGUCAAGAUUAUAGAGAUACACCAACCUGGAGGACUCCAUGCUGUUGAGCUGUUCACAA